CCUACGGGUGGCAGCAGUGGGGGAUAUUGGACAAUGGGGGGAACCCUGAUCCAGCAACGCCGCGUGGAGGAUGAAGGUUUUCGGAUUGUAAACUCCUUUUGUUAGAGAAGAUAAUGACGGUAUCUAACGAAUAAGCACCGGCUAACUCCGUGCCAGCAGCCGCGGUAAUACGGAGGGUGCAAGCGUUACUCGGAAUCACUCGGCGUAAAGAGUGCGUAGGCGGGAUAGCAAGUCAGAUGUGAAAUCCUAUGGCUUAACCAUAGAACUGCAUUUGAAACUGUUAUUCUAGAGUAUGGGAGAGGUAGGUGGAAUGCUUGGUGUAGGGGUAAAAUGCGUAGAGAUCAAGAGGAAUACUCAUUGCGAAGGCGACCUGCUAGAACAUAACUGACGCUGAUGCGCGAAAGCGUGGGGAGCAAACAGGAUUAGAUACCCGAGUAGUC
Molecule: ribosomal RNA, 440 nt
Filed under: uncultured bacterium
Lineage: Bacteria
Description: partial 16S ribosomal RNA
Rfam family: Bacterial small subunit ribosomal RNA
Source: RNAcentral